UCUCAGAUGGCUCAGUGGUAAAGAAUCUGCCUGCAAUGCAGGAGACUUCAGUUUGAUUCUUGGGUUGAGAA
Molecule: transfer RNA, 71 nt
Filed under: Ovis aries (sheep)
Lineage: Eukaryota; Metazoa; Chordata; Mammalia; Artiodactyla; Bovidae
Rfam family: tRNA
About the family: Transfer RNA (tRNA) molecules are approximately 80 nucleotides in length. Their secondary structure includes four short double-helical elements and three loops (D, anti-codon, and T loops).
Source: Rfam by way of RNAcentral